ACCCACGUUCAGUGCAGACCCCCUCACAACUACUUUAGUUCCCCCGGCCAUGGGUCCAAAGGUCGGAGACACACUGCUGACAGUAGGAUCCACCGUAGUGAAGGAGCCACCGUUUACAAAUGCUACUCUAGAGUCAAUGACAAACUGGUGCCAUGGUAUGUAACCAGUGAUGAGGGGAGUGCAAGCCACGCCUCCUAAUGUAAGAAUGGAGUUCUGAACGUCGACAAAAGUUCCUCCGAAGUCAGUACCCCUCAAAGUGAUUGCUGUACCACCCUCAACUGGUCCUGAGGAUUGAGUAUAUGAUUUUGUAUGUCCUCGAUCAAUAGUGAGUUAAACAUACUUACUACUAAGCUCAUGAAGGAAAAAGCUUAGUAAUGCAAGUAUGAUAGAUCUAUACACUAUACAUAUGACAAUCACAUGCUGUAUGUACGCAUAAUGAUAGGUACGUAUAUUACGCUCACUGCAUUCUUACCCGACAUUGGAGUGAAUGAGUUGAUGACAGGGGCAGGAGGAUUGUCCGCCUCAGUAAUGAAAGUAUUGGAGCACUCUUGCCUCACCUCACAACUACCUCCACACCACCCACAUGCGAACUCUGACCCCAUUCUGACUGCAAUACAUUCCAAAUAUCCACUGGCCAAGUCACGACAAUCAUACAACGUCACUGUGUGUGUGGGUGUGGGGUGAACUAGUAGAUUGUCUAGACUAUCUGGAAGCGUCUAGCUAUCCACAUUAUUCAUGGUUGGCAGAUAAUUUUAUAAUGGUAUACCUGACAUGGUGUUGCUCAGUGUUUGGUUGAUAUCAUUCCCCGUCCAGGUUACCAUAACAACCACAAGGAAACUUCCAACACCAGGAGAAAGUGUGCCGAACUACAAAUUUUCAGAUGGAGCUCUCGUUCUCAUACUGAGCUGUCAGACUAACUCCAUUCACAACACAAUAGUACUCAAAGCCAUCUGUCUAUAUGGGGAGAUGAGGUUCCUGGUGGUCAGUCGAAGGUCCUGGGCCACCCUUACUGGUUGAGUGUACCCACCAGAGGGGGGCGUGUCCAACAAGGGGCACUCGGCAGUGAAGUCGUUGCCUGCAAACACCUGUACAGAGGGACGUAUAUACAGGUCAUCAUCAUGUCACUGAGCUCACCUGUAGGAAGUGAGAUACAUUCCUGCAAGGAGCUGAUGUUCCACUGCAUUGCUUGUUGAGGUUACACCAUCCACACGGAUUAUUUAUCCCAAGACAAUUCUUACAGCUGUAUACAACGGUGUCAUAAAGACAUAAUUAUCGUAUUUUCUCUAUAUAGACAAUGUUCUUAAAUGUGUUGAGCACACUAAUUAAGUUGUCACACUUUUUAAUGUUUUUAGUGUACAUGCAUUUGUUUUACUACACAGUUUACUAUAUCGCUAUAUAGACACGCCUGUGUAGGUUAUUUGUGAAACAGUUGGCAUUG
Halichondria panicea is the source of this 1438-nucleotide long non-coding RNA. RefSeq lists it as uncharacterized. The transcript has 4 exons. Lineage: Eukaryota; Metazoa; Porifera; Demospongiae; Suberitida; Halichondriidae. The record is from RefSeq and is a predicted model, not a curated record.